RNAcentral lists this small nuclear RNA (109 nucleotides) under Microcebus murinus (gray mouse lemur). The record is from RNAcentral. Lineage: Eukaryota; Metazoa; Chordata; Mammalia; Primates; Cheirogaleidae.
GUGCUCACUCGGCAGCACGUAUACGAAAAUUGGAAAUAUACAGGGAAGGUUAGCAUGGCUCCUACAUGCAAAGGAUGACACACGAAUUUGUAAAAUGUUCCAUAUUUUU